This 535-nucleotide ribosomal RNA is filed under the name Bacillus sp. LCF10. RNAcentral's name for it is "bacterial SSU rRNA". It matches the Rfam family "Bacterial small subunit ribosomal RNA", at positions 86 to 607 of the family's 1533-position model. The record is from RNAcentral. Lineage: Bacteria; Bacillati; Bacillota; Bacilli; Caryophanales; Bacillaceae.
CGGAUGUUAGCGGCGGACGGGUGAGUAACACGUGGGUAACCUGCCUGUAAGACUGGGAUAACUCCGGGAAACCGGAGCUAAUACCGGAUAGUUCCUUGAACCGCAUGGUUCAAGGAUGAAAGACGGUUUCGGCUGUCACUUACAGAUGGACCCGCGGCGCAUUAGCUAGUUGGUGAGGUAACGGCUCACCAAGGCGACGAUGCGUAGCCGACCUGAGAGGGUGAUCGGCCACACUGGGACUGAGACACGGCCCAGACUCCUACGGGAGGCAGCAGUAGGGAAUCUUCCGCAAUGGACGAAAGUCUGACGGAGCAACGCCGCGUGAGUGAUGAAGGUUUUCGGAUCGUAAAGCUCUGUUGUUAGGGAAGAACAAGUGCAAGAGUAACUGCUUGCACCUUGACGGUACCUAACCAGAAAGCCACGGCUAACUACGUGCCAGCAGCCGCGGUAAUACGUAGGUGGCAAGCGUUGUCCGGAAUUAUUGGGCGUAAAGGGCUCGCAGGCGGUUUCUUAAGUCUGAUGUGAAAGCCCCCGG